Astatotilapia calliptera (eastern happy) is the source of this 583-nucleotide long non-coding RNA. NCBI's taxonomy places the organism in Eukaryota, Metazoa, Chordata, Actinopteri, Cichliformes, Cichlidae. The record is from Ensembl.
CCUGGCCCUGGGUCUCAUUCCCAUUGGCAUAAUCCUGAUCUGUGAAGGGCCCCCGACACUUCUGACACCUUCAAGUUCAAAAGCUUCGCCCCCUUCUGACAGUCCCAAUCUGACAAAUGUAGCCCCUAGGGUCUUGCCCACCACUUCCUCUCCAGUUUUGCCCACGCCCGAUCCAUUUAGAAAGAAACGAGACACGGUUACCUCCUCGCCAACGGAUGAUGAAAACUCUGAUCGACAGCUGUUACUGCUUUCAUCGGGAACCGAGACUGCUUGCAGCCGACCCCUGGGCAGGGUGGUGCCUGGACUCUUUUCUCCUCAUCUGCAAUGACAGAUAAAGACAAAUGAUAAGACCCGAGGAGUUUUUCGAGCCAGGCUUCGACACGUCUCUGUGUUCCUUUGAAUGUUACUUAUUUUUGUGUGUUGACCCAUUUAAGAUGGGUCAAAAGGGGGAUUUGAAGAAAAUAUAAUUUGAUCAAACAUUAUUCAGCUUUAAAUAUUGUUCAGCUUUAAAGUUACUGUGCAACUGUGUAAUAAAAAUGUGUGCUCACGACUUUGGCCUUGAGAGCGAUAAGAAGCGAUCGCC